UGUUGGGUUAAGUCCCGCAACGAGCGCAACCCCUGUGUUUAGUUGCCAGCAUGUAAUGGUGGGGACUCUAAACAGACUGCCUGUGCAAACAGAGAGGAAGGAGGGGACGACGUCAAGUCAUCAUGGCCCUUACGUCCGGGGCUACACACGUGCUACAAUGGGCAGUACAGAGGGCAGCUACUUUGCAAGAAGAUGCUAAUCUCAAAAAGCUGUUCACAGUUCGGAUAGAGGUCUGCAACUCGACCUCUUGAAGUUGGAUUCGCUAGUAAUCGCAGAUCAGCAAUGCUGCGGUGAAUACGUUCCCGGGCCUUGUACACACCGCCCGUCAAGCCAUGGAAGCUGGGAGUGCCUGAAGUCGGUCACCGCAAGGAGCCGCCUAGGGUAAAACUGGUAACUAGGGCUAAGUCGUAACAAGGUAGCCGUACCGGAAGGUGCGGCUGGAACACCUCCUU
This 452-nucleotide ribosomal RNA is filed under the name Chaetoceros neogracilis. RNAcentral describes it as "partial Bacterial small subunit ribosomal RNA". It matches the Rfam family "Bacterial small subunit ribosomal RNA", at positions 1073 to 1532 of the family's 1533-position model. Lineage: Eukaryota; Bacillariophyta; Thalassiosirophyceae; Chaetocerotales; Chaetocerotaceae. The record is from RNAcentral.